UACAAAUUUUGCCCCACGUUAAUCUUCUCUCGUUAAGUACAUACUUAGAUAAUAGACAAUUUAUUCAACACAUAUUAUUUAAUUCGCAAUUAUCCUACGUUCCUAAAAUUUUAAAGAUAAUAAUCCUCCAAAUCAAUCAAUAUUUCACGUGUUUAAAUAAUUACUUAAAUAAUUAUUUUCCAAACAGCAUCACUCUUAGAAAACUGGUAUUAAAUCAUUACUGACCAGAGUAUUUACAUAUGACUCUAACCGGCGAGAAUUACGGUUUUUCAUUACCACGACAUUUUUAGUAAUGUCGUGGUAAUGAAAAACUUACCACUCAGAAACAAACUAGUACCAAUCCGGUAAGAAGUUAAAUAUUACUAAAUUAAGAUCAGUACGGAGUAUCUUAAGUAUGGAGACUUGACCAGAUUUUUAACAAUGCACGAAUGUAUGUAACAUAUAAAUUCGAACCAAAAUACUUACUUUUAUCACAUUUAUGAAUUUCAAAAAUGCAAUUUAAACAACCUCUAAUUUUGGUGGUGCUCCUGACCUCGUCCUUUCUCAUUUUAUCCAUUCCUUUCUGGAUUUUCGACCUCAAUAACGACACUAGCAUCGUGCCUCGAUGCGAUUUGAACCCUUCAGUGGAAAAUAUAACGGAAGAAGUUAAAAAACGGAACGGGCAAAAUUUCACGUAUCCCGACCUUUUGCAGUUAUACGGAGAAAUCACGAAAUAUUUUGACAAUAGGAAUUUCUCCGAUUAUAACGACCUCAUCCCGUAUAUCGUGUACAACUCGACGUUCUACGAUCUUAUGCAGUUCACUGAGAUGAUGAUUUAUUAUACGUGCAUUAAUAACACAAAGGAACAGUUAAUGUUCUUGGUGAAAAUGGACGAGUUGUAUCCGGAAUUUUAUUCUUACUGGAAAAGCAAGGGGGAAAAAUACAAUGAUCCUAAAAAACCCUUGGAACAAGUCAGGCUGUAUUAUCAAAUCCUCCUCGUCAAUUACAGCGUCCAGAGUGUAUUUGCGAUAAUGAUCGCAACGACAUAUCUCCUUUUGUGGGAGCGCCACUCCCUUCACGGCUACCUCCAGUUGUGCUACGUCCUUGUGGAAGCCGUCCACAGAACUGGGAGACUUAUCUAUGUCGCAUACUUUGCCAAUGAUAAAGGUCUCGGAAACCAAUAUAUUUACAGCGCGAAAUAUUUGACGAGAUGUGCCAAAUUUGAUACAUUUUUCGGGUACAUCCACACCUCGAGACAACUAUGGCUAACGAUUUUGGUGUUCGACUUGUGGAAAACGUUCGGAAGAAGGAUUUCUCUCCCAGGAAAUAGAAAAUUAAAAUUUGUCAAAUAUUUUGGUUUCGCCGUUCUAUCGCCAGCGGUAUACAUCUGUGCCGGAUUGAUAUUACAAGUUUCGGUGUGGGGCUACGAUUGUUACCACCUUCUUGACCGGAAUAAGGUUGCGUUUCAAAUUUUGAGAAAUACACCUUCUGUAUUUUUCUUCGGCUGCAACUUAUUUUUCGUCAUUUCUUGCUACCGGAAAUCUAAGGUGAUGCAAAAAGAGGGAGAAUUUGCGCAAAGAAACGUGACCAGUCGGACGGACAGCAGCAGCAGGCUUCGUCUUUACAUCAAGCUUCUCCUCGUGGUUUCCGAUUUUGCAUCCCAAUAAUCGACGAGAUCCUUGAUUUAGUUGACAUCAGUCCCGGCUCCUCUUAUGGUUCAAUUAUUCUCAACAAUGUCUCCAUUUGUCACAGCUUUUUCUUAUUUUUGGUCCUAAUGCGGCACGGACAGACGAAGCUUGGGCUGAAAGAAGUUGUCGUUCUGGAAGAGGGAAAACUGCUAAGAAACGCGGAAUUUCUAUUUGAGAAUGCGUCAACUGGGAAGCUCGCGUUGGUUGCCUUUUAUCAAUUAAAAUGUGGCUGGAACUUACUCAAAAUUCGAAUUGUUCUUGCCUUGAUAAAAUUAACAAUUAUUUGUAGAAACAUAACUUGUAAGGGGAGGUUGUGUAGAUGUUUUUAACAUUUUCAAUCCAUUACAAAAGCUAGUGCUACAUAUGUAAAUAAAUACUUUUUCUUGUAAUGGGUUUCGGUGGGGAUUGAUUAAAUAAUAUCUGCGCCAUACAUUUGCAUAAACACAUUGUGCACAAUAUUUAAAUCAUAUCUCACAAUCUUGUCUCCCUUCUUUAUGUAAUUGCAAAUUUGAGUCC
RNA transcript from Folsomia candida, 2183 nucleotides. RefSeq lists it as uncharacterized. The record is from RefSeq and is a predicted model, not a curated record. NCBI's taxonomy places the organism in Eukaryota, Metazoa, Arthropoda, Collembola, Entomobryomorpha, Isotomidae. The transcript is spliced from 7 exons.